This 392-nucleotide ribosomal RNA is filed under the name uncultured eukaryote. RNAcentral describes it as "partial 18S ribosomal RNA". It matches the Rfam family "Eukaryotic small subunit ribosomal RNA", at positions 592 to 976 of the family's 1831-position model. The record is from RNAcentral.
CAAUAGCGUAUACUAAAGUUGUUGCGAUUAAAAAGCUCGUAGUUGGAUCUCAGGCAUGGGCGCACGGUCCGCCUCGCGGCGGUCACUGUGUGUUUUGUUUCCCAUCCUACGCUUCCCGGUUAUCAGCCCAUGGUGCUCUUCACUGAGCGUUUUGGGUGGCCGGAACGUUUACUUUGAAGACAUUAGAGUGUUCAAAGCAGGCACGUCGCCUGAAUAAUGGUGCAUGGAAUAAUGGAAUAGGACCUCGGUUCUAUUUUGCUGGUUUUCGGAACACGAGGUAAUGAUUAAGAGGGACAGACGGGGGCAUCCGUAUUGCGGUGUUAGAGGUGAAAUUCUUGGAUCAUCGCAAGACGAACAACUGCGAAAGCAUUUGCCAAGCAUGUUUUCAUUAG